GAUGAACGCUGGCGGCGUGCUUAACACAUGCAAGUCGAACGGAAAGGCCCAAGCUUGCUUGGGUACUCGAGUGGCGAACGGGUGAGUAACACGUGGGUGAUCUGCCCUGCACUUCGGGAUAAGCCUGGGAAACUGGGUCUAAUACCGGAUAGGACCACUUCUUGGAUGUUGUGGUGGAAAGUUUUUUCGGUGUGGGAUGAGCUCACGGCCUAUCAGCUUGUUGGUGGGGUAAUGGCCUACCAAGGCGUCGACGGGUAGCCGGCCUGAGAGGGUGUACGGCCACAUUGGGACUGAGAUACGGCCCAGACUCCUACGGGAGGCAGCAGUGGGGAAUAUUGCACAAUGGGCGCAAGCCUGAUGCAGCGACGCCGCGUGGGGGAUGACGGCCUUCGGGUUGGAAACUCCUUUCGCUAGGGACGAAGCGUUUUGUGACGGUACCUGGAGAAGAAGCACCGGCUAACUACGUG
Molecule: ribosomal RNA, 467 nt
Filed under: uncultured bacterium
Lineage: Bacteria
Description: partial 16S ribosomal RNA
Rfam family: Bacterial small subunit ribosomal RNA
Source: RNAcentral